UCAGGAUGAACGCUAGCUACAGGCUUAACACAUGCAAGUACGAGGGGAAACGACAUCGAAAGCUUGCUUUUGAUGGCGUCGACCGGCGCACGGUGAGUAACGCGUAUCAACCUGCCCAUCACUUGGGAUAACCUUGCGAAAGUAAGACUAAUACCCAAUGAUAUCUCUAGAAGACAUCUGAAAGAGAUUAAAGAUUUAUCGGUGAUGGAUGGGGAUGCGUCUGAUUAGCUUGUUGGCGGGGUAACGGCCCACCAAGGCGACGAUCAGUAGGGGUUCUGAGAGGAAGGUCCCCCACAUUGGAACUGAGACACGGUCCAAACUCCUACGGGAGGCAGCAGUGAGGAAUAUUGGUCAAUGGACGAGAGUCUGAACCAGCCAAGUAGCGUGCAGGAUGACGGCCCUAUGGGUUGUAAACUGCUUUUAUAAGGGAAUAAAGUGAGUCUCGUGAGACUUUUUGCAUGUACCUUAUGAAUAAGGACCGGCUAAUUCCGUG
RNAcentral lists this ribosomal RNA (493 nucleotides) under uncultured Prevotella sp. RNAcentral describes it as "bacterial SSU rRNA". It matches the Rfam family "Bacterial small subunit ribosomal RNA", at positions 24 to 507 of the family's 1533-position model. Lineage: Bacteria; Pseudomonadati; Bacteroidota; Bacteroidia; Bacteroidales; Prevotellaceae. The record is from RNAcentral.